Molecule: long non-coding RNA, 770 nt
Filed under: Chinchilla lanigera (long-tailed chinchilla)
Lineage: Eukaryota; Metazoa; Chordata; Mammalia; Rodentia; Chinchillidae
Description: lncRNA (ENSCLAG00000024212.1)
Source: RNAcentral
AAAGAAAAGAAAAGAAAAGAAAAGCAAAGAAGGAAAACAUUUCCUAGACCAAUGGUGGCUACUCACUCUUUUGGUGUUACAAAAUAAGACGUCUAACUUUCAGUAUUUAAGAGAAGAAAAAUUAAGAGUCCAACUGCACCCCGCCCAGCAUUUCCUGAGGGCGUUCUUCCAAUCACAGAUGCAUUCUGGGUGAGCCAAUUAAUCUGGGCUCUGUGCCCUCAAGUGGGUGGUGUGCUGCUGGAUGUCAGGAACAGUGUGACAUAUAUCUGUGUCCUGUACCCACUUAAUUUGUCCCUGGCUGGAAUACAUGAACUUUCAUUUGUUCUGUUAUCAUCAUAUCCUGUCUAGACUGAAAACAGCUUCAGAAUGGCUCCCUCCAUGGUCUCUGAAUUAAAAAUCAGAGCCCAGUUUACCAUGCUGCCCCUGCCGGGGACUCCCAUGGGUCUUUCAGCUUCUGUCUCUGAAGUGGGAGAAACCUUGGGAAGACCAGGGAGGCUACUUCCAACUGAAAAAACCCAGGACAGUGCAUUUGAGGAUGGUACCACAACUUUGGGAAGCUCAACUGGACCUGUGGGUUGGACACAUCUGGCCUGCCUUGAGCUGGGAGGAACCAUCUUUGGCCACAGGUAAAACAUGUAAUAUAGUUCAUGUGUAUAAAUAACAAAACUUUUUUUUUUCUUCUGUAUUAUUAGUAUAAUGCAGGCAUGUCUAGCCUGCGUGCCACAGGUUGGACACAUCUGUCCUACAUUUUUGUAGAAUUUUGCCUUAGU